CCUACGGGAGGCAGCAGUGGGGAAUUUUGGACAAUGGGCGAAAGCCUGAUCCAGCAAUGCCGCGUGAGUGAAGAAGGCCUUCGGGUUGUAAAGCUCUUUUGUCAGGGAAGAAACGGUGCGGGCUAAUAUCCUGCACUAAUGACGGUACCUGAAGAAUAAGCACCGGCUAACUACGUGCCAGCAGCCGCGGUAAUACGUAGGGUGCAAGCGUUAAUCGGAAUUACUGGGCGUAAAGCGUGCGCAGGCGGUUUUGUAAGUCUGUCGUGAAAUCCCCGGGCUCAACCUGGGAAUUGCGAUGGAGACUGCAAGGCUAGAAUCUGGCAGAGGGGGGUAGAAUUCCACGUGUAGCAGUGAAAUGCGUAGAGAUGUGGAGGAACACCGAUGGCGAAGGCAGCCCCCUGGGUCAAGAUUGACGCUCAUGCACGAAAGCGUAGGGAGCAAACAGGAUUAGAUACCCUGGUAGUCCACGCCCUAAACGAUGUCUACUAGUUGUACGGGUUUUAAAUUACUUGGUAACGCAGCUAACGCGUAGAAGUAGACCGCCGUGGGGAGUACGGUCGCGAAGAUUAAACCGUCGAAAGGAUUGACGGCGUGAGACGUGCGACGGACGACGACGAGGGAGGAGG
RNAcentral lists this ribosomal RNA (626 nucleotides) under uncultured bacterium. RNAcentral's name for it is "bacterial SSU rRNA". It matches the Rfam family "Bacterial small subunit ribosomal RNA", at positions 338 to 954 of the family's 1533-position model. The record is from RNAcentral.